This 252-nucleotide ribosomal RNA is filed under the name uncultured bacterium. RNAcentral's name for it is "partial 16S ribosomal RNA". It matches the Rfam family "Bacterial small subunit ribosomal RNA", at positions 524 to 776 of the family's 1533-position model. The record is from RNAcentral.
UACGUAGGGUGCAAGCGUUAAUCGGAAUUACUGGGCGUAAGCGUGCGCAGGCGGUUUUGUAAGUCUGUCGUGAAAGCCCCGGGCUCAACCUGGGAAUUGCGAUGGAGACUGCAAGGCUUGAAUCUGGCAGAGGGGGGUAGAAUUCCACGUGUAGCAGUGAAAUGCGUAGAGAUGUGGAGGAACACCGAUGGCGAAGGCAGCCCCCUGGGUCAAGAUUGACGCUCAUGCACGAAAGCGUGGGGAGCAAACAGG